AAUGAACGCUGGCGGCAUGCCUAACACAUGCAAGUCGAACGGAAGCACGGUGAGCGCUCGCCCCUACGGGUGGCGACGGGCGGGUGAGUCACACGUAUAUCCCAUACCUCUUUGACUGGGGUGAUAACGCGGGACCACAUACGCUAACCGCUCAUAUGUCGAACGGGAGUGAGCAAGGGAUCUAACGACCUUUGGUGACCCUAAGAGCCGAUGCCGCAUUAGCUAGUUGGGGGGGUAAAGGCUUACCAAGGCGACGAUGCGUAGCGGGGCUGACCGGAUGAUCAGCCACACUGGAACUGAGACACGGUCCAGACUCCUACGGGAGGCAGCAGUAGGGAAUAUUGCGCAAUGGGCGAAAGCCUGAUCGAGCAAUGCCGCGUGAGUGAUGAAGGUCUUCGGAUUGUAAAGCCCUGUUGUUAGGAAAGAACAGAAGUAGAUGAAUCCAUGGCUGUUUUGACGGUACCUAAAGAAUAAGCACCGGCUAACUACGUG
Molecule: ribosomal RNA, 492 nt
Filed under: uncultured bacterium
Lineage: Bacteria
Description: partial 16S ribosomal RNA
Rfam family: Bacterial small subunit ribosomal RNA
Source: RNAcentral